UACGUAGGGACCGAGCGUUGUCCGGAUUCAUUGGGCGUAAAGAGCUCGUAGGCGGCUGUUCAAGUCGAACGUGAAAACUCGGAGCUCAACUCCGAGCCUGCGUUCGAGACUGGAUGGCUAGAGUCUGGUAGGGGGAUCUGGAAUUCCUGGUGUAGCGGUGAAAUGCGCAGAUAUCAGGAGGAACACCGGUGGCGAAGGCGGAUCUCUGGGCCAUUACUGACGCUGAGGAGCGAAAGCGUGGGGAGCGAACAGG
Molecule: ribosomal RNA, 253 nt
Filed under: uncultured bacterium
Lineage: Bacteria
Description: partial 16S ribosomal RNA
Rfam family: Bacterial small subunit ribosomal RNA
Source: RNAcentral